CACAGGAUGGGUCGGCUCUCGACACUGGGCUGGUCGCUCUGGUUUACACCAAAUCCAACCACUCGUGGCCUGCAGAUCCUCAGUAUAAAUCGCUGGAAAAGCCUGACCUUGACAACCUCAUUCCUCAUUCCUUUCUUGUUACAGACAAGAGGCCUUUGGGUUGCAAUCUGAAGGUGGACCAGGCAGUGGAUUGUGAAGGCGAUUGGGUUGUUGCUGGAAGGCUUGGAAUUGAAUUCUCAUUGGGUAUUCAGGAGGAUGAAGGCAUUUCCCAGGCAGCUUCACAGAAACAAGGGAGGUAUUCCCACCACGAUGUCAUCCACCACAGUGCAAUGCAGCCAGAUGGCCCCUUGAAAGAACCAGUGCUAUGCUCUUUGGACUUUCAGCCUCCAAAACUGUGAGCUAAAUAAACCUCUCUCUUUAUAGGUUAACAGAAAGUAUACUAAUGUAUCAGCUAUAUGUUAGACUGGGCAGAGCUGAGUAUAUUGCCCCUGAAAUAUAGAACCAAGAAAUACGGAUGGUCCAG
Heterocephalus glaber (naked mole-rat) is the source of this 523-nucleotide long non-coding RNA. The record is from Ensembl. Lineage: Eukaryota; Metazoa; Chordata; Mammalia; Rodentia; Bathyergidae.